This 232-nucleotide ribosomal RNA is filed under the name uncultured bacterium. RNAcentral's name for it is "partial 16S ribosomal RNA". It matches the Rfam family "Bacterial small subunit ribosomal RNA", at positions 102 to 334 of the family's 1533-position model. The record is from RNAcentral.
ACGGGUGAGAAACACGUACGCAACUUUCCUCAAACCGGGGCACAACCUUGAGAAAUCAGGGCUAAUUCCCCAUAACAUUGCGAAAGGGCAUCUGAUUGCAAUUAAAGAUUCGUCGGUUUGAGAUGGGCGUGCGUUCGAUUAGCUAGUUGGUAGGGUAACGGCUUACCAAGGCGACGAUCCGUAGCCGGCCUGAGAGGGCGGUCGGCCACACUGACACUGACAUACGGGUCAG